AUUAGGGAUAAUCGAGCUAAGGUAACGGUAGAAAAUUGAAAUCUCAAUAAUUUGGCCUUUAUUGGGAUUGGGAAGAGGCACUACUAAACAACAACCAUUUGUUAUAGUUGGGAAUUUGGGACAAAGAUAAAAAUGCAUAUCAUGAAGAUCUAGUGAUAGUAAUUGAUAUUAUUGUUCUCCUGACGCAAAGGAUGUCAAAGAAAUUGCUUGUUAACAAAAUGUAGA
This 225-nucleotide long non-coding RNA is filed under the name Gossypium raimondii (Peruvian cotton). RNAcentral's name for it is "long non-coding RNA (GRAI_LNC003540)". Lineage: Eukaryota; Viridiplantae; Streptophyta; Magnoliopsida; Malvales; Malvaceae. The record is from RNAcentral.